RNAcentral lists this long non-coding RNA (977 nucleotides) under Pan troglodytes (chimpanzee). Its description in RNAcentral is "long non-coding RNA NONPTRT004625". The record is from RNAcentral. Lineage: Eukaryota; Metazoa; Chordata; Mammalia; Primates; Hominidae.
UGGGUGCAGUAAUGCUGGUGUGAACAAACCUGCUGCGUGGCUGGCAUGACCAAAGGCCGCUGUAGGCGGUGAUCAUCCCCAAUCACGGCCCUCGACCGGAGCGCACUUCCCCGCAUCUGGAGCCAUCUGCAUCUGUCUCCUUUGCAGUCUGCCGGUAAUUGGGUCUGAAAUCACACGCGUCCCACUCAGCUACAUUUACAUUUCCUUCUUGCGCUGUUUUUAUAUCCAGAGCUGUUGAAACCACUCCUAGGAUGAAUUUCUAAACUUAGACCAUCUCAUCCUCAAACGGCAAGAAAGAAAGUGUGAUGUGUCUGUGAAUCUGCUGAAUGGGCCGAGGGGUGUUUUUAAAAGAUCAUAUUGCGGGGAAGAAGCAGGCACUGCAGAAACCUAUGGAUUGGGGUGCUAAAACCUACGAGCUUCCCGGGAAGCUGCCUUUUGGGAGCCCGAACUAUCCCAGAACCUUUUCCUAGUAGCAGAUCACAAUCACCGUCUCUUCUGUGAGCCCGCUUCAAGCCAGCAAUGAAAGGACACUUCUGCACGCCAGCAGCAGGAGUAGGAAACCCCACUCUCCCUACAACAUAAGGGCUACACAUUUGAGAUCCUCUCAGAGGACUUUUUAAAAAAAUAACAUCUUUCAUUUAUGCUUGAGCAGGGAGAAGAGUCAUUAAAAAGAAGAGAUUUUUAAAAUCCCUGUCCAAUGCUUUUGGCCAGCCAGCCGCUCAGGACAAAGGGCUGCCUGGUUUGGGGACCUAAUUAUCUGGAGGCCAAGGCGCGGCUGCGGGUGAUGGGGCUGCCGAUUCCGCAGCGAGCACAGUCCGCCUCAUUGUUGGUGAAUUUCCUGCUCUUGGCACUUUCUUUGGCAGCCUCAUGGCCAGCACCUGUGCACUCAGACCUGGGGCCUGGGACGUCUACACAGAUGUCACGGCGCUUUUGUUGAUUUCCUAUUAGUGGCACUUAAUAGGCAGGCGCUGGGGACA